GAGCGCUUAGGUCGUUUCAUUUCCCCUCGUGAUUUGAACGACUCGCCUUUUUUUCCUGCGAACAUUAUGGAAUGCCGAGUGGCUGUGCAGCUGAUUGAUGAACAAGACUCCCAAAACGCGGAUGUGCAGCUGAUUGAACAAGUCUCCCAAAACGAUCUGCUCCAGUUAAUAACCCAGCCAAAUUUUAUAGACCUCGCACAGGAAUGCGAUGACCAAGCAGGUCCGAGCAGCUCUAACAAUACACGAAAUCCGGCACGCAGCCCCUUGAGAAAGAAAAGAGCGAUCGGACUCCGGCACCAAGAGAAGAAGAAGAAUCACACAACAGUAAGUGUGUUUUUUUCUUUCUA
This 347-nucleotide long non-coding RNA is filed under the name Sinocyclocheilus anshuiensis. RNAcentral's name for it is "lncRNA (ENSSANG00000027330.1)". The record is from RNAcentral. Lineage: Eukaryota; Metazoa; Chordata; Actinopteri; Cypriniformes; Cyprinidae.